RNAcentral lists this unclassified non-coding RNA (411 nucleotides) under Hevea brasiliensis (rubber tree). The record is from RNAcentral. Lineage: Eukaryota; Viridiplantae; Streptophyta; Magnoliopsida; Malpighiales; Euphorbiaceae.
GUUGUGGUUGAGGUUUGGGUGUGGCUUGCGGUUGUGGUUGGGGCUUGCUGUGGUUGCCUUGUUCUUGGGCGUUGAUGUGAUGGCUGGGGUGGUGAGGAUGAAGAAUCUCUUCCUUGUCUUAAGGAAGAUCCGAUUCUUCUUGCUGGUCAUUUAGCAGGUGUCAUGAAUGUUAGGAUAGGGAAAAAAGCUAGGGUUUGUGAAUGGGGUGGAGAUUUGAGAGGUAUUUGAAGAGAAAGAGUUGUGGAGAGGAAGAAUUCUUAAAUGGAUGGGAGUUUAAUGGCGGGAGGAGCUUUUAAAGAGGCCCUUUGUCUUUUCGUUUUUGAGCGUUUUUACGCCCUUGGGUAUUGAGUCUGCGACUUGAUACACGGGUCGUGUUUCGAGGACCCGUGUAACUUUCUGUCCAAAAGUUGC